Molecule: long non-coding RNA, 932 nt
Organism: Carassius auratus (goldfish)
Lineage: Eukaryota; Metazoa; Chordata; Actinopteri; Cypriniformes; Cyprinidae
Exons: 4
Source: RefSeq, a predicted model, not a curated record
UUGAAGCUGUCCAAAUCACACAGAACCACAGGAGAUCUCAAAACGAUAAGUUGUUGUCAAUAUGGCGGCACAGAGUAGAAUAUUGAUUAAGUUUUAAGGGAGGCAGGGGUUUUAGGCAGGAUUUGAUGCAUGAUGUGUGUGUAGAUAUUAAUGUUAGGGGACAAUGUGAGAGAUGUGUACGUUUUAGUAGGAAAACGUAUUAUAUGAUCUACACUCCGAAACAGAAGAGGGCGGUAAUGCACCAAUAAUCUGGAUGCCAACUGCCGUUAAACUGGAAAGAAGAAUAUGAGAGCUUGCUGUGAGAGACAAAGGAACAGAUGAGACACACGUGUGUUUAUCUGCUGUAGAGACACUGAUGAAGGAAUGCUGCCAGCAAAUGAGUUGUAUCUUUUGUGGAGGAGCAGGACCUGCAAGGAAAGGACAUGAAAAUGUCUGUAGACUGGUGUGUGCACUGACGAUGGAGAAAACCACAGCAUCAUCCUGGAAAUGAUCGAGAGUCACAGAUGAGACGCUCCAUCACUCCACCUGCCCUUUACUGUCUCAUCAGGACCAGAAAAUUAAUGUAUUCACAUCGACUGCAUUUAUUUAACUAUAUAUUCAUGUAUAUGUCACAAAAGGAAAUACAAUUUGCUUCUUUUACUAAAAUGUCUUUUAAAAAAUAUAUAUAAUUAUUGGUUGGCAUUUAUCUUUAUUAUUGCAUGUAAGUGUUGGGGUGGGCAAAAGAUGCAAUUCAUAAUGGGGUAAUGUUAAUUUUCGAGUAGUAAUACUUACAUUUUUAGAGUAUCAAAUCAACGGUCUUCUCCAAAGGUGAGAUCUUCGAGCAGCUGAUUGAAGUACACUUUGUGCAGAUAACGCUGUGAGGAGUUAGUGCACCUAAUCCUAUUUUUUAUUAUUAUUGCCAAAUUAUUACAUAAAAGAUAAUGGUAAGAGGU